GAGAAUAGCCAUGGAAGAAGAAAAUAAUCAGAGGAAGAAAGAGAAAAGUGAGGGAAGCUAAUACGAAGUGGAAAAGCUAAUAUGUUGGUCUUACAUUUGGACAGGUGGAUUUAUAUGCAGUGAAAACGUAUACAUAUCAGUACAUGAGCUAUUCUUUUCGUACAUGUUCUGUUGCUGUCGGUACAAUCUUGUAUUGCUGCG
RNAcentral lists this unclassified non-coding RNA (201 nucleotides) under Hevea brasiliensis (rubber tree). Lineage: Eukaryota; Viridiplantae; Streptophyta; Magnoliopsida; Malpighiales; Euphorbiaceae. The record is from RNAcentral.